UGGGGAAUAUUGGACAAUGGGCGAAAGCCUGAUCCAGCCAUGCCGCGUGAGUGAUGAAGGCCUUAGGGUUGUAAAGCUCUUUUGCCAGGGAAGAUGAUGACGGUACCUGGAGAAUAAGCCCCGGCUAACUUCGUGCCAGCAGCCGCGGUAAUACGAAGGGGGCUAGCGUUGUUCGGAAUUACUGGGCGUAAAGGGCGCGUAGGCGGCCGUUUAAGUUAGGUGUGAAAGUCCUGGGCUCAACCUGGGGACUGCACUUAAUACUGGAUGGCUUGAAUUCGGGAGAGGAUAGCGGAAUUCCCAGUGUAGAGGUGAAAUUCGUAGAUAUUGGGAAGAACACCGGUGGCGAAGGCGGCUAUCUGGACCGACAUUGACGCUGAGGCGCGAAAGCGUGGGGAGCAA
Molecule: ribosomal RNA, 399 nt
Filed under: uncultured bacterium
Lineage: Bacteria
Description: bacterial SSU rRNA
Rfam family: Bacterial small subunit ribosomal RNA
Source: RNAcentral